RNAcentral lists this ribosomal RNA (497 nucleotides) under uncultured bacterium. RNAcentral's name for it is "partial 16S ribosomal RNA". It matches the Rfam family "Bacterial small subunit ribosomal RNA", at positions 28 to 507 of the family's 1533-position model. The record is from RNAcentral.
GAUGAACGCUGGCGGCGUGCCUAAUACAUGCCAGUCGAGCGAACGGACGAGAAGCUUGCUUUUCUGAUGUUAGCGGCGGACGGGUGAGUAACACGUGGAUAACCUACCUAUAAGACUGGGAUAACUUCGGGAAACCGGAGCUAAUACCGGAUAAUAUUUUGAACCGCAUGGUUCAAAAGUGAAAGACGGUCUUGCUGUCACUUAUAGAUGGAUCCGCGCUGCAUUAGCUAGUUGGUAAGGUAACGGCUUACCAAGGCAACGAUGCAUAGCCGACCUGAGAGGGUGAUGGGCCACACUGGAACUGAGACACGGUCCAGACUCCUACGGGAGGCAGCAGUAGGGAAUCUGCCGCAAUGGGCGAAAGCCUGACGGAGCAACGCCGCGUGAGUGAUGAAGGUCUUCGGAUCGUAAAACUCUGUUAUUAGGGAAGAACAUAUGUGUAAGUAACUGUGCACAUCGUGACGGUACCUAAUCAGAAAGCCACGGCUAACUACGUG